Molecule: long non-coding RNA, 245 nt
Organism: Ananas comosus (pineapple)
Lineage: Eukaryota; Viridiplantae; Streptophyta; Magnoliopsida; Poales; Bromeliaceae
Exons: 2
Source: RefSeq, a predicted model, not a curated record
UACCUUAUUCUAUUUUUCCCAGAUGUACGCACCGACGCCAUCUGAUUGCCGUCGUCGUUGCCCUCAUCCGUAGCCACCACCGCCAUACCGAGACUGAUUCGCAGGGCGGGGCCGGGACCGAGUGAACGUUAGGUGUAGCUAAUUUUGAUUUAGCCUCUUCGUCUUAUGUCUAUUGCAUUUAGAUGUAAAUUUUGGACUUCGUAAAUAAUUAUUUGUUUAUCUGCUUCUAUUUUGUUUUUUUUUCA